GCUCAGAUUGAACGCUGGCGGCAGGCCUAACACAUGCAAGUCGAGCGGUAGAGAGAAGCUUGCUUCUCUUGAGAGCGGCGGACGGGUGAGUAAUGCCUAGGAAUCUGCCUGGUAGUGGGGGAUAACGUUCGGAAACGGACGCUAAUACCGCAUACGUCCUACGGGAGAAAGCAGGGGACCUUCGGGCCUUGCGCUAUCAGAUGAGCCUAGGUCGGAUUAGCUAGUUGGUGAGGUAAUGGCUCACCAAGGCGACGAUCCGUAACUGGUCUGAGAGGAUGAUCAGUCACACUGGAACUGAGACACGGUCCAGACUCCUACGGGAGGCAGCAGUGGGGAAUAUUGGACAAUGGGCGAAAGCCUGAUCCAGCCAUGCCGCGUGUGUGAAGAAGGUCUUCGGAUUGUAAAGCACUUUAAGUUGGGAGGAAGGGUUGUAGAUUAAUACUCUGCAAUUUUGACGUUACCGACAGAAUAAGCACCGGCUAACUCUGUGCCAGCAGCCGCGGUAAUACAGAGGGUGCAAGCGUUAAUCGGAAUUACUGGGCGUAAAGCGCGCGUAGGUGGUUUGUUAAGUUGGAUGUGAAAUCCCCGGGCUCAACCUGGGAACUGCAUUCAAAACUGACUGACUAGAGUAUGGUAGAGGGUGGUGGAAUUUCCUGUGUAGCGGUGAAAUGCGUAGAUAUAGGAAGGAACACCAGUGGCGAAGGCGACCACCUGGACUAAUACUGACACUGAGGUGCGAAAGCGUGGGGAGCAAACAGGAUUAGAUACCCUGGUAGUCCACGCCGUAAACGAUGUCAACUAGCCGUUGGAAGCCUUGAGCUUUUAGUGGCGCAGCUAACGCAUUAAGUGACCGC
This 854-nucleotide ribosomal RNA is filed under the name Pseudomonas paralactis. Its description in RNAcentral is "bacterial SSU rRNA". It matches the Rfam family "Bacterial small subunit ribosomal RNA", at positions 22 to 872 of the family's 1533-position model. The record is from RNAcentral. Lineage: Bacteria; Pseudomonadati; Pseudomonadota; Gammaproteobacteria; Pseudomonadales; Pseudomonadaceae.